GGAAUUCCGCUAGUUCUGAACUAUUCGGGGUUGGAAAAAAAGUUCACUACUAGCAGAACUCGG
Molecule: microRNA precursor, 63 nt
Filed under: Lepisosteus oculatus (spotted gar)
Lineage: Eukaryota; Metazoa; Chordata; Actinopteri; Semionotiformes; Lepisosteidae
Description: Loc-Mir-726_pre stem-loop
Source: RNAcentral